Molecule: ribosomal RNA, 1514 nt
Filed under: Lacticaseibacillus rhamnosus
Lineage: Bacteria; Bacillati; Bacillota; Bacilli; Lactobacillales; Lactobacillaceae
Description: bacterial SSU rRNA
Rfam family: Bacterial small subunit ribosomal RNA
Source: RNAcentral
CACGUCAGGAUGAACGCUGGCGGCGUGCCUAAUACAUGCAAGUCGAACGAGUUCUGAUUAUUGAAAGGUGCUUGCAUCUUGAUUUAAUUUUGAACGAGUGGCGGACGGGUGAGUAACACGUGGGUAACCUGCCCUUAAGUGGGGGAUAACAUUUGGAAACAGAUGCUAAUACCGCAUAAAUCCAAGAACCGCAUGGUUCUUGGCUGAAAGAUGGCGUAAGCUAUCGCUUUUGGAUGGACCCGCGGCGUAUUAGCUAGUUGGUGAGGUAACGGCUCACCAAGGCAAUGAUACGUAGCCGAACUGAGAGGUUGAUCGGCCACAUUGGGACUGAGACACGGCCCAAACUCCUACGGGAGGCAGCAGUAGGGAAUCUUCCACAAUGGACGCAAGUCUGAUGGAGCAACGCCGCGUGAGUGAAGAAGGCUUUCGGGUCGUAAAACUCUGUUGUUGGAGAAGAAUGGUCGGCAGAGUAACUGUUGUCGGCGUGACGGUAUCCAACCAGAAAGCCACGGCUAACUACGUGCCAGCAGCCGCGGUAAUACGUAGGUGGCAAGCGUUAUCCGGAUUUAUUGGGCGUAAAGCGAGCGCAGGCGGUUUUUUAAGUCUGAUGUGAAAGCCCUCGGCUUAACCGAGGAAGUGCAUCGGAAACUGGGAAACUUGAGUGCAGAAGAGGACAGUGGAACUCCAUGUGUAGCGGUGAAAUGCGUAGAUAUAUGGAAGAACACCAGUGGCGAAGGCGGCUGUCUGGUCUGUAACUGACGCUGAGGCUCGAAAGCAUGGGUAGCGAACAGGAUUAGAUACCCUGGUAGUCCAUGCCGUAAACGAUGAAUGCUAGGUGUUGGAGGGUUUCCGCCCUUCAGUGCCGCAGCUAACGCAUUAAGCAUUCCGCCUGGGGAGUACGACCGCAAGGUUGAAACUCAAAGGAAUUGACGGGGGCCCGCACAAGCGGUGGAGCAUGUGGUUUAAUUCGAAGCAACGCGAAGAACCUUACCAGGUCUUGACAUCUUUUGAUCACCUGAGAGAUCAGGUUUCCCCUUCGGGGGCAAAAUGACAGGUGGUGCAUGGUUGUCGUCAGCUCGUGUCGUGAGAUGUUGGGUUAAGUCCCGCAACGAGCGCAACCCUUAUGACUAGUUGCCAGCAUUUAGUUGGGCACUCUAGUAAGACUGCCGGUGACAAACCGGAGGAAGGUGGGGAUGACGUCAAAUCAUCAUGCCCCUUAUGACCUGGGCUACACACGUGCUACAAUGGAUGGUACAACGAGUUGCGAGACCGCGAGGUCAAGCUAAUCUCUUAAAGCCAUUCUCAGUUCGGACUGUAGGCUGCAACUCGCCUACACGAAGUCGGAAUCGCUAGUAAUCGCGGAUCAGCACGCCGCGGUGAAUACGUUCCCGGGCCUUGUACACACCGCCCGUCACACCAUGAGAGUUUGUAACACCCGAAGCCGGUGGCGUAACCCUUUUAGGGAGCGAGCCGUCUAAGGUGGGACAAAUGAUUAGGGUGAAGUCGCAAAGGGG